Molecule: ribosomal RNA, 851 nt
Filed under: uncultured crenarchaeote
Lineage: Archaea; Thermoproteati; Thermoproteota
Description: bacterial SSU rRNA
Rfam family: Archaeal small subunit ribosomal RNA
Source: RNAcentral
AGCAUACAAGGCAUACGGCUCAGUAACGCGUAGUCAACCUAACCUAUGGACGGGAAUAACCUCGGGAAACUGAGAAUAAUGCCCGAUAGAACAUUAUGCCUGGAAUGGUUUAUGUUCCAAAUGAUUUAUCGCCGUAGGAUGGGACUGCGGCCUAUCAGUUUGUUGGUGAGGUAAUGGCCCACCAAGACUAUUACAGGUACGGGCUCUGAGAGGAGUAGCCCGGAGAUGGGUACUGAGACACGGACCCAGGCCCUAUGGGGCGCAGCAGGCGAGAAAACUUUGCAAUGUGCGAAAGCACGACAAGGUUAAUCCGAGUGGUUUCUGCUAAAGAAACCUUUUGUCAGUCCUAGAAACACUGAUGAAUAAGGGGUGGGCAAGUUCUGGUGUCAGCCGCCGCGGUAAAACCAGCACCUCAAGUGGUCAGGAUGAUUAUUGGGCCUAAAGCAUCCGUAGCCGGCUCUGUAAGUUUUCGGUUAAAUCUGUACGCUCAACGUACAGGCUGCCGGGAAUACUGCAUAGCUAGGGAGUGGGAGAGGUAGACGGUACUCGGUAGGAAGGGGUAAAAUCCUUUGAUCUAUUGAUGACCACCUGUGGCGAAGGCGGUCUACCAGAACACGUCCGACGGUGAGGGAUGAAAGCUGGGGGAGCAAACCGGAUUAGAUACCCGGGUAGUCCCAGCUGUAAACUAUGCAAACUCAGUGAUGCAUUGGCUUGUGGCCAAUGCAGUGCUGCAGGGAAGCCGUUAAGUUUGCCGCCUGGGAAGUACGUACGCAAGUAUGAAACUUAAAGGAAUUGGCGGGGGAGCACCACAAGGGGUGAAGCCUGCGGUUCAAUUGGAGUCAACGCCGGGG